Molecule: unclassified non-coding RNA, 208 nt
Filed under: uncultured fungus
Lineage: Eukaryota; Fungi
Description: sequence contains ITS1
Source: RNAcentral
GUAUUAUAUUAUUUCAUUUAUCCACAUUCCUAACACAUUCAAAGAUUGUGAAAAGCAACAUAGACUCGGAGGGGAAAAAAAAUCCUCCCUCCCAAGUCUACAAUAAGUGCACAGUUGGAGAAAUAAAGAUGACAAGCGUGCACGGAGUCAGCAACAGCCUGUUCAAGUUUAUUCGAUAAUGAUCCUUCCGCAGGUUCACCUACGGAAA